Molecule: ribosomal RNA, 468 nt
Filed under: uncultured bacterium
Lineage: Bacteria
Description: partial 16S ribosomal RNA
Rfam family: Bacterial small subunit ribosomal RNA
Source: RNAcentral
GACGAACGCUGGCGGCGUGCUUAACACAUGCAAGUCGAACGGAAAGGCCCUGCUUUUGUGGGGUGCCGGGUGGCGAAAGGGGGAGGAAACAGGGGAGUAACCGGCCCUGGAUUUUGGGAUAACUUAAGGAAACGGGGCUUAUACCCGGAUAGGAGCCCCGCUGGCAGGGGGGGGGUGGGAAGUUUUGGGCGGUGGGGGUUGGACUCGCGGCUUAUCAGCUGGUGGGUGGGGUAGUGGCUUACCAAGGCUUUGACGGGUAGCCGGCCUGAGAGGGUGACCGGCCACAUUGGGACUGAGAUACGGCCCAGACUCCUACGGGAGGCAGCAGUGGGGAAUAUUGCACAAUGGGCGGAAGCCUGAUGCAGCAACGCCGCGUGCGGGAUGACGGCCUUCGGGUUGUAAACCGCUUUCGCCUGUGACGAAGCGUGAGUGACGGUAAUGGGUAAAGAAGCACCGGCUAACUACGUG